This 442-nucleotide ribosomal RNA is filed under the name uncultured bacterium. Its description in RNAcentral is "partial 16S ribosomal RNA". The record is from RNAcentral.
UGACGGGCGGUGUGUGCAAGGAGCAGGGACAUAUUCACCGGACGAUGCUAACGUCUGGUUACUAGGGAUUCCAACGUCAUGUGGGUGAGUUACAACCCACAAUCUGGACUGGGAUAUGGUUUAGAGGUUUAGCUUCUCCUUUCGGAGUUGCGUCCCAUUGUCCAUACCAUUGUUGCGCGCGUGUAGCCCAGAGGAUUCGGGGCAUACAGACCUACCGUUGCCUGCACCUUCCUCCUUGUUUCCAAGGCAGUCUCUACAAUGUGCCCAAUCAGCCUAAAGACCUCGUUGGCAAUUGUAGAUACAGGUCUCGCUCGUUGCAUGACUUAACAUGACACUUCACAGCACGAGCUGACGGCGGCCAUGCACCACCUCUCGGCUUGUUAAUUAAGAACUUCAGUCUGACUUUCAUUCUGCCGUCGCCUCUGGUGAGAUUCUCCGCGUU